Molecule: ribosomal RNA, 251 nt
Filed under: uncultured prokaryote
Description: partial 16S rRNA
Rfam family: Bacterial small subunit ribosomal RNA
Source: RNAcentral
ACGGGGGGGGCAAGCGUUAUUCGGAAUUACUGGGUGUAAAGGGCGCGUAGGCGGCCGAAUUGGUCAGGUGUGAAAUCCCUAGGCUUACCUUAGGAACUGCGCUUGAUACCAUUCGGCUUGAGUACAGGAGAGGUGGGCGGAAUUCCAGGUGUAGCGGUGAAAUGCGUAGAUAUCUGGAAGAACACCGGUGGCGAAGGCGGCUCACUGGAAUGUCACUGACGCUGAAGCGCGAAAGCGUGGGGAGCGAACGG